This 253-nucleotide ribosomal RNA is filed under the name uncultured bacterium. RNAcentral's name for it is "partial 16S ribosomal RNA". It matches the Rfam family "Bacterial small subunit ribosomal RNA", at positions 524 to 776 of the family's 1533-position model. The record is from RNAcentral.
UACGUAGGGGGCGAGCGUUGUCCGGAUUUACUGGGUGUAAAGGGCGUGUAGCCGGGCUGACAAGUCAGAUGUGAAAUCCGGGGGCUCAACCCCCGAACUGCAUUUGAAACUGUUGGUCUUGAGUAUCGGAGAGGCAGGCGGAAUUCCUAGUGUAGCGGUGAAAUGCGUAGAUACUAGGAGGAACACCAGUGGCGAAGGCGGCCUGCUGGACGACAACUGACGGUGAGGCGCGAAAGCGUGGGGAGCAAACAGG